AACAACAAAAACAAAGGAACAAAAAAAAGAAGACAUUAUUUGAUGGAUUACUAAGGCCAUUAUUUUUCUCUUCAAGUUUAAAAAUUCUCUUCACAAGUAUAUGCUUCUUUUUUCUUUAGUAGGCCUUUUAUGAAAGCGAAUGGAUAUUUAUGGAUCUAUUCUCCUGCACAUGCGAUGCGACUAGUUAAAGUUGUUCCAUGAAAAAGUUUCUUCUGCAGAAUGAGUGCAAACUUUAACUUCAUGAAUUGAAAACUAAAGCUCCAGCACAUGGUCCAUAUUAAAGGAAGGACAAUAUCUCUUUUUGGGUUUCUCUGAAGAUCGGAUCGACUUAACUGCUUUAUUCAAAUAAUUCCAAAUUCUCUUUUGCAGUUGGCUUAUAAAGAGUUUUGUACCAUCCUUCAGCUGCAAGAGAAGUAGAUGAGCCUUUGGGAAAAUGAUAGAUCAUAGAUGUGCAUGUCCUGGCAUUCCAGAAAUACCAAGUAGAUGAAUCUAAAGCGACAAGUUUCAGCUACUCAAAGAUCUGAUGUGCAUAGGAUUACCUGAAACAAAGGCAACAAUAGAUAAGAAGAUGUAUCAUCAAGGCCACAACAACAUCGUUUCUUCUAGGGAAGCAUUUCCUCCAGAGAGGCAUUUGUUAUUGCAACAAUGGGGGAGCAUUCCAGACGAAUCGGGACUAGUGCUAUCGACUGAUGCAAAGCCAAGGUUGAAGUGGACACCUGAACUCCAUGAUAAAUUCAUAGAAGCAGUUAAUCAACUUGGCGGAGCAGACAAGGCAACACCAAAAAGCAGUCAUGAGGCUCAUGGGCAUUCCUGGACUGACACUGUAUCACCUAAAAAGCCAUCUUCAGAAGUACAGACUCAGCAAAAAUCUUCAACCUCAAGCAAACAUGGGAAGUACUAAGAGUGGUAAGAGCAAAUCCAAAUUUAUCAAACAUAAUGAGCUUGCAAGCUAAUACAUAAUGCUGCAGUUGUAGGUUGUUACUCUAUGUGUGUUUUGGACAGCCCCGAAAAAAGUAUAUCAAUUGUUUUUUAUCAUGAUUUCUUUGACAAUGAGUACGAACUGCUAGUGAGCAUUGAAGACAUCACACUUUUUUAUGAGUUGGAGCCAAUAUCUGCUAAUUGUCUGGUUGCUUACAUGUGGUCGGGCAAUUCGUGAGUCUUGAGUUUUUUUGAUGCAAGAAGUGAGCUUUGUUAGGAUGUAGCUUGCCUUGCUAAUAUGUAAAUUAAAAUCCAUAUGGAGAACAUCAAAUGGAAAACAUGUGAUUUAAUGUAUAUGGAGAACAUGUGUAUUUUGAUGAGUAACAACUCAUUUUGUAUAUUUUUAUAUAUGUGUGGCUACAAGAUGAAUUAUA
Molecule: RNA transcript, 1352 nt
Organism: Zingiber officinale
Lineage: Eukaryota; Viridiplantae; Streptophyta; Magnoliopsida; Zingiberales; Zingiberaceae
Gene name: myb-related protein 2-like
Exons: 5
Source: RefSeq, a predicted model, not a curated record